UAAAUCAAUUCGGAGGUGUUAUCUGGUUACAAAAACAGCAAUUUUGGAUUUAGAAAGGUUUAUUUCUCAGUAACUUUUACAUAAUAGAUGAGAAACAGUUUUG
Long non-coding RNA from Thalassophryne amazonica, 103 nucleotides. RefSeq lists it as uncharacterized. The transcript is spliced from 3 exons. The record is from RefSeq and is a predicted model, not a curated record. Lineage: Eukaryota; Metazoa; Chordata; Actinopteri; Batrachoidiformes; Batrachoididae.